RNAcentral lists this ribosomal RNA (253 nucleotides) under uncultured bacterium. RNAcentral's name for it is "partial 16S ribosomal RNA". It matches the Rfam family "Bacterial small subunit ribosomal RNA", at positions 524 to 776 of the family's 1533-position model. The record is from RNAcentral.
UACGGGGGGGGCAAGCGUUGUUCGGAAUUACUGGGCGUAAAGGGCUCGUAGGCGGCCAACUAAGUCGGACGUGAAAUCCCCGGGCUUAACCUGGGAACUGCAUUUGUGACUGGCGGGCUAGAGUAUGGCAGAGGGGGGUAGAAUUCCACGUGUAGCAGUGAAAUGCGUAGAGAUGUGGAGGAAUACCGAUGGCGAAGGCAGCCCCCUGGGCCAAUACUGACGCUCAUGCACGAAAGCGUGGGGAGCAAACAGG